This 1352-nucleotide long non-coding RNA is filed under the name Equus caballus (horse). Its description in RNAcentral is "lncRNA (ENSECAG00000056955.1)". Lineage: Eukaryota; Metazoa; Chordata; Mammalia; Perissodactyla; Equidae. The record is from RNAcentral.
AGUCAAUGGAAAGCUUAGUCACUGGAGUCACAAAACUUAACCUAAAAAAUAUCAUUCACCACAGAAGCUUCACGGGCUAUUGUAAAGAAGGAAAUAAAAUCUCCGAAUGACUAGUUUUACAAACUGAAAUCUGUAAUAUGACAGAGAACAUUUUUUUCCUCCUCCCUCUACUCUUCUUGCCACCAUCUCCUUCUUCAAAUUUCCCUCAGAUUUCCUUAAAUUUCCUUCUCAUUGGAAAGGGAAAGAACAAACUUUACAGAAUCUUAUUCAAACCAUUGAGAACAAGUCAUUAUUCAUAUUUCAAAUCUUCUGCUGAAAACUUGUGCCUUUUAGAGCACCCACACCAUUCCUCACCAGCACAGCCUCCUGAACGACUAACAGUGUCCAAAAGAGAAUGUACAAAUCACAGCUGCUUUAAGGUCACAAAGAAGCAACUUUGGAUGACAAAAUUUUAUUAGACAAAUCAAUCAAGGAAUGUUAAUGUGAGUAGUUAUCUUUGGCUAUAAAAGGGGGUGAGUGGGAGGGGUAGUGAAGUUAAGGGAACUCUACAGCCAUUUUCUCUGUAUUUAUGUACUAUUUAAAACUUUUACAGUGAGAAUAUAAUCAUACAUAAUUUUGUAAUAUUACAAAAAUAAGGCAAAUAUCACAAACAGAACAGAAUAUUAAGAAUGAAAGGACCAUUAGAAAUGACCUAGUCCCAAAUCCCUCAGUUGGGAUGAAACGGAGACAAGAGAACAUAACUAGUAUACCCCAUGUCACAGAGUAACCCAGUUUCUAUCUCCUAAACUCCAUUUAAAGGAGGGAGGUGGGGAACAGCACAGAGCUGCUCUGACAAUAGGCAUCCUCCCUUCAGAAAACAAGAGAUGCCAGGGCUUGAGUUAAUCUAGAAGCCAUAAAAGAAAGCUUUUGUUCAAAUACUGGAGGAAGUAAGAAACUAUGCCAAAACCAGGGGAUUGAGGUUGGGGAAAGGUAAGGAUUCAAGUCAUAGAGUCAAUGGAAAGAUGUGGAAUCUAGGCUAUAGGAACCAGUCAAGAUGUCAGCAUCAAAUGGGACCAACUUGUUGCAUCCACCAGCUCCAGAGAUUUAUUUUUUCCUUUGUGAGUUUAUUUAGUGGUUCAGUUAGGGUGGCAGCUGAUGGCAGAGAGCUGGCUAGAAUACAAGAACUACAUGUUGAAUUCUAGUUUAAAGGUCUUUGUACUACUCCAUCAUAUGUUAAAUACCAGUGGUAAGAAUUUCUCAUGCCUAGCUGCGAGUGAUGCAAAAGCAGAUAUAAAAAAUUACAGACCCAUGGGUAAAAAGAGCUAAAAUCCUUCAACAGGAGCUAAAAGCAAUCACUAAAGGCUAUAUUUUCC